GGAACUGAGACACGGUCCAGACUCUACGGGAGGCAGCAGUGGGGAAUAUUGCGCAAUGGGGGGAAACCCUGACGCAGCCAUGCCGCGUGAAUGAAGAAGGCUUCGGGUUGUAAAGUUCUUUCGGUAAUGAGGAAGGGAUGUUGUUAAAUAGAUAGCAUCAUUGACGUUAAUUACAGAAGAAGCACCGGCUAACUCCGUGCCAGCAGCCGCGGUAAUACGGAGGGUGCGAGCGUUAAUCGGAAUAACUGGGCGUAAAGGGCACGCAGGCGGACUUUUAAGUGAGAUGUGAAAUCCCCGAGCUUAACUUGGGAACUGCAUUUCAGACUGGGAGUCUAGAGUACUUUAGGGAGGGGUAGAAUUCCACGUGUAGCGGUGAAAUGCGUAGAGAUGUGGAGGAAUACCGAAGGCGAAGGCAGCCCCUUGGGAAUGUACUGACGCUCAUGUGCGAAAGCGUGGGGAGCAAACAGGAUUAGAUACCCUGGUAGUCCACGCUGUAAACGCUGUCGAUUUGGGGAUUGGGCUAUAUGCUUGGUGCCCGAAGCUAACGUGAUAAAUCGACCGCCUGGGGAGUACGGCCGCAAGGUUAAAACUCAAAUGAAUUGACGGGGGCCCGCACAAGCGGUGGAGCAUGUGGUUUAAUUCGAUGCAACGCGAAGAACCUUACCUACUCUUGACAUCCUAAGAAGAGCUCAGAGAUGAGCUUGUGCCUUCGGGAACUUAGAGACAGGUGCUGCAUGGCUGUCGUCAGCUCGUGUUGUGAAAUGUUGGGUUAAGUCCCGCAACGAGCGCAACCCUUAUCCUUUGUUGCCAGCGAUUCGGUCGGGAACUCAAAGGAGACUGCCAGUGACAA
RNAcentral lists this ribosomal RNA (850 nucleotides) under Pasteurella sp. RNAcentral describes it as "bacterial SSU rRNA". It matches the Rfam family "Bacterial small subunit ribosomal RNA", at positions 315 to 1161 of the family's 1533-position model. Lineage: Bacteria; Pseudomonadati; Pseudomonadota; Gammaproteobacteria; Pasteurellales; Pasteurellaceae. The record is from RNAcentral.